CACACCGCCCGUCACGUCAUGGAAGCUGGUAACACCUGAAGCCGGUGGACUAACCUCUUCGGAGGAGGUAGCUGUCGAGGGUGGGAUUAGUGACUGGGACG
RNAcentral lists this ribosomal RNA (101 nucleotides) under uncultured bacterium. RNAcentral describes it as "partial 16S ribosomal RNA". It matches the Rfam family "Bacterial small subunit ribosomal RNA", at positions 1386 to 1482 of the family's 1533-position model. The record is from RNAcentral.